Molecule: ribosomal RNA, 440 nt
Filed under: uncultured bacterium
Lineage: Bacteria
Description: partial 16S ribosomal RNA
Rfam family: Bacterial small subunit ribosomal RNA
Source: RNAcentral
CCUACGGGGGGCUGCAGUGGGGGAUAUUGCACAAUGGAGGAAACUCUGAUGCAGCAACGCCGCGUGAGGGAAGAAGGUCUUCGGAUUGUAAACCUCUGUCCUCAGGGACGAUAAUGACGGUACCUGAGGAGGAAGCUCCGGCUAACUACGUGCCAGCAGCCGCGGUAAUACGUAGGGAGCAAGCGUUGUCCGGAUUUACUGGGUGUAAAGGGUGCGUAGGCGGCUCUGCAUGUCAGGUGUGAAAACUAUGUGCUUAUCUCAUAGAUUGCACUUGAAACUGUGGGGUUUGAGUGAAGUAGUGGUAGGCGGAAUUCCUGGUGUAGCGGUGAAAUGCAUAGAGAUCGGGAAGAACUGCAGCUGCGAAGGAGGCCUGUUGCGCUUUAACGGACUCUGAGGGACGAAAGUGUUGGUAGCAAACAGGAUUAGAUACCCCUGUAGUC